RNAcentral lists this long non-coding RNA (1880 nucleotides) under Mus musculus (house mouse). RNAcentral describes it as "myeloid RNA regulator of BCL2L11 induced cell death". Lineage: Eukaryota; Metazoa; Chordata; Mammalia; Rodentia; Muridae. The record is from RNAcentral.
AGUGACAAUGAAGACUGAGGUGUCUGCUUUGCAGUUUUUUUUUUUCUUUUCUUGUCUUUUUUUUUUUUUUUCCUAAUCAUGUGGACAUCUCUGAGAAUGAGGGGACUGGGUGACUUUGCAGUGUCUGCUUUCUAAGUUUCAAAGUGACUUUCCAGGCAAGCUGCGCAUAUCUUGGGAUCUUCACAGCACAGUGGCUGGGAAGGCAGGCGGACCCGUCUAUCAGCUUCUCCCUGUUUGAAGGUCCGACUCAUCAUGGCAGGACUUGGCGUUGGGUCAGAUGCCCUGUGGCUGUGUCAUGUGGAAUGCGAGGCUGCCUGCUCAUAUCUCAGCAGAUCCAGAGGGGACAAAGAAGAAGGCCACACCCACACGACUUCAGAAGACUACCAAAGCAAACCAGAGGACCAGAGAACAGCAGCUGCUCUGGACAAAGAGGGGAGGACACCCACACCCACAUACCAAGUUCUGGUUGACUUCUACAGCAGAAGAAGCAGGAGACACAAGAAGUCUCCUCAGAAGAACAUUGACCAGCACGCCUGCAUCCUUUCUGUUCUGACACACUUGUUACCUGGAUGACUUCUUUCUCAUCACCCACGUGCCAAGAGUGCCAUGUCUCAUCUGGACCAGAGACUCUGAGGAUCACACCAACAGAGACACAAAUGACACUUAAAGAAAGCCACAUCAGCUUUUACAACUUACCCCCCAAUACCGAAUGUCAUCAACUCAAUUUAAAUCAUUGGAUGGUUCUGUUCUCAGGGCCAGAGAGUUUCACUAAACUUCGUCGAACCCUUCGGUAUAACUGUCAACUGUGCAGAGUGUGCUUGGUGUCUGGAUUCUCAGCCUUCAGUGUAAUCAUGUUUACAUCCCCAGGUGUCAGAAAAUUCCCCCUGACCCUUAACCCCCAACCCUUAGCAUGUUGGUGUCUUAGCUUUUACAAUGUCAUUGCUGGACUUGACUGCUUUUCACAAAGGUAGCUGCCCAACUAGCCAUGCCCCAACCAGUACAUUCUUCUUGGUUGCAUUCUUAAAUUCUCAGACUUUUUCUUAACAAAUGUGACAACUGAAUGUUUAUUGGUGUUGGUUUGGACUUCAUUUAAUCCUGUUAAAACCAGUUUGUGUCAGUCACAAUCUGGUGGUUCAUUGAUUGUCCUUCUCUGAAUCCGCUCACCAUCACAUUUGACACCUAGGCUUUCAUUUUUUCCCCCUGAGUCAGGGUUUUUCUGUGUAGCCCUGGGUGUCCCAGAACCUGCUCUGUAGACCAGGUGAACUCAGAGAUUCACCUGCCUCUGCCUUCCAAGUGCUAGAAUUCAAGGUGUGCACCACUACCCUGAGCUUUCUACAUUUUUAUGUCUUUGAAUAUCAAGUUUGCAGUGAGAAAACUGAGGCUCAGGGUGGUGGAGUCACGUGACCAAAGUCUCAAGACUCCAGAGGGGAGCUGAGCUGAGUGGUGAUAAGGGCCUGUGCUUCUGAAACCAGGGCACAUGGCCAGAGCAGAGUAGCAGUCGACAGUGACAAGGACACUAGUGUCACACCCAACAGUCCACUAUGAAGUCACAUACCUGACUCAUGACACCCUAGCAAUACCACCAGCCAAUCCACUUCCUAACAUCUAAGGAUCUCCAAGGACUCCAGCAAAUGGUGGUUUGGGGAGACCAAGGUCCCUAGCACAGAUCUAAGAGUCUCCAUUGUGGAACUUCAAAGUGUUCAGGGUUCUAUCCGGGCAUCCGUUUGACUGGGAAUCCUUUUUUACACUGCUCCAUAUUUGUCCAUUUCAAAAAUGAGAAUAUACUUUGUUCACUGCCUUGAUGAAAUUGAUUUCAGUUUAAUCAGUUGCACCCUGUUUAAUAGACCUGUUAUAAAAGAUGUGCAUUUGUGUCUAUCAAA